GACGAACGCUGGCGGCGUGCUUAACACAUGCAAGUCGAACGGAAAGGCCCUGCUUUUGUGGGGUGCUCGAGUGGCGAACGGGUGAGUAACACGUGAGUAACCUGCCCUUGACUUUGGGAUAACUUCAGGAAACUGGGGUUAAUACCGGAUAGGAUCUCCUGCUGCAUGGUGGGGGUUGGAAAGUUUCGGCGGUUGGGGAUGGACUCGCGGCUUAUCAGCUUGUUGGUGGGGUAGUGGCUUACCAAGGCUUUGACGGGUAGCCGGCAUGGGAGGGUGACCGGCGACAUGGGGACUAAGAGACGGCGCAGACGCGAACGGGGGGCAACGGGGGGAAAUAUGACACAGUGGGCGGAAGCCGGAGGAGGAAACGCCGGGGGCGGAAAGACGGCCUUGGGGUUGAAAACCGCUUUCGCCUGAGACGAAGCGGGAGUGACGGUAAUGGGUAAAGAAGCACCGGCUAACUACGUG
Molecule: ribosomal RNA, 468 nt
Filed under: uncultured bacterium
Lineage: Bacteria
Description: partial 16S ribosomal RNA
Rfam family: Bacterial small subunit ribosomal RNA
Source: RNAcentral